GAUGAACGCUAGCGGGAGGCUUAACACAUGCAAGUCGAGGGGCAGCAUAGGGUAGCAAUACUCUGAUGGCGACCGGCAAACGGGUGAGUAACGCGUAUGCAACCUACCCUGUACAGGGGGAUAACCCGGAGAAAUUCGGACUAAUAUCCCGUAAUAAUAUCCGGAGGCAUCUUUGGAUAUUUAAAGUUCCGACGGUACGGGAUGGGCAUGCGUAACAUUAGCUGGUUGGUAAGGUAACGGCUUACCAAGGCUAUGAUGUUUAGGGGUCCUGAGAGGGUGGUCCCCCACACUGGUACUGAGACACGGACCAGACUCCUACGGGAGGCAGCAGUGAGGAAUAUUGGUCAAUGGGCGGAAGCCUGAACCAGCCAUCCCGCGUGCAGGAAGACGGCCCUAUGGGUUGUAAACUGCUUUUCCAGGGGGAGAAACUUUCCGAUGCAUCGGGAUUUGACGGUACCCUGGGAAUAAGCAUCGGCUAACUCCGUG
This 486-nucleotide ribosomal RNA is filed under the name uncultured bacterium. RNAcentral describes it as "bacterial SSU rRNA". It matches the Rfam family "Bacterial small subunit ribosomal RNA", at positions 28 to 507 of the family's 1533-position model. The record is from RNAcentral.